RNAcentral lists this ribosomal RNA (421 nucleotides) under Ceriagrion auranticum. RNAcentral describes it as "partial 16S ribosomal RNA". The stretch from base 1 to 208 matches the Rfam family "Archaeal large subunit ribosomal RNA", at positions 1889 to 2143 of the family's 2987-position model. Lineage: Eukaryota; Metazoa; Arthropoda; Insecta; Odonata; Coenagrionidae. The record is from RNAcentral.
CGCCUGUUUAACAAAAACAUGUCUUUUCGUUUUUUUUGGAAAGUCUGGCCUGCCCAGUGAAAUUAAAUUUAACGGCCGCGGUAUAUUGACCGUGCAAAGGUAGCAUAAUCAUUAGUCUUUUAAUAGGAGGCUGGUAUGAAAGGUUUAACGAAACAUAAACUGUCUUAUUUAUAAAUUUAUAAUUUAACUUUUAAGUUAAAAGGCUUAAAUAUUUUUGGAGGACGAGAAGACCCUAUAGAGCUUUACAUUAUAUUAUUUUUAAUAUUUCUUUGUUUAAUAAUUUAAUAUUAAUUUUAAUAUUGUUUUGUUGGGGUGACAAUAAAUAUAUAUUUAACUUUUAUCAUUUAAUUUACAUUAAUUUAUGAUUUAUUGGAUCCAAUAUUAUUGAUCAUUAGAUUAAGUUACCUUAGGGAUAACAGCG